UGAAGUUUCUGUCAAUACCAAGGCGUCCUAUGGUGACUUGGGGUCAAUCUAAAGCUUAGCUAAUCCAUCCUAAAGUAGAAUUUUACUUGGAAAUAAAAGAAUGGAAAAUCACAUAAGAGGUACAUGGUCAUGCAGAUAUUUGUUGCACCAACAUGACGAUAGCCUAAAAACAGAAGGACCUCCAUAAUCUAAUUACACUAAAUCACAAUCAUAUAACUGACACAGACUGAGCCAAAAAAUAAUAUUAUACAUACUCGAUUUGCAAAUUGCAAAUAUCAAUACAAAUCAUAUUAUAAAUACACAAUAUGCAAAGAACAGUAAGGAGCUCCGGAUGGCGCAUAGUAUUUUUUUCGAUUUACUAUUUAUUAGAUAUUAAUACAAAAGACAAAAUAUCAUGUUACUUUCUACAUGGCCAUUUUUGCAAAAAAAAUGGUUUUUUUAUAUAGAAUUCACAGUAAAUGUUUUAGGACCUUAGGGAGAAACUGCAAAAUGAAAAUUCAGCGUGUCAGGAUCAAGCCAAAGGAUAAGAAAAUGCAAAAACAUAAGUCUUUUGGGUAUCCAAAAACCAUGGUAGCUUCAAGUGCUACCAGAAAUAGGUCAAGCCUGUUAAAAAACAGUGGGAUAUAAUCGGUUUCCAAUAAGUGGCACAAAGUUCCUAAUUGCCUUGCCCACUAAUUUGUGUUGAGGAAGCAAGCACAAACCCGUACAAAUGCAUUAUUGUUACAUGUGUUCUAUCGGUAUCACAAAAAAUUAAACCAUGUACGACAACCCUCUUUAAAAGUUCUCAUAUUAAUCGUGGUUGUGGCCAUUUGUGGGAACAUGAUUUAGAAUAUUUAAUAUACUAGAAGUUUACAACAAAUGAAGCUCAUAUUUUAUUUUUUUAACAACUAAGAUUGCAGUUAUAUCUGAUCAUGCUUGAGGCUCAUAUUUGAUUUCCUACCCUGCAAUUUACCUCUAGAUAGGAAAAGAGGAUACUAUUCAUCACUGCGAAACUGCCAUGCAAAAUUAUAUGAGAUGACUACAAAAUAUUUUUCUAUGAUCAGACCCUGCGCAAGCGGGAGCUACAUGCACCGGGGUGCCUUUUUUUUACUCUGGAUUAUACGGAUAUAAAACUGGAAGGGAAACCACACAAAAAGAGAAUUUGGCUUUAAACAUUUGCAUAUGGUACUCUUCUUUGGCAUGAAAGCUACUCCAAAGAGUAGUACGUAACAGUUAAAUGAGUAACCCUUAGAUGAAAAUGUAGUCAGAGCAGCCAUUUUAAACACUUGCAACAUGACCAAUGUGUAGUCUAAUUUCGUGAGCGGUCUAAUUAUCUCUAGAACAGGCCACAACAAAUUCAAACUAAUUCACAAUUGAGAAUUAGCAGAUAACAAUAUUUGCUGCUACAAUAUAUUGGAAUGAACUCAAAGAAUAAGUGUUUUUUCUUCUUUAAAUACACUUGGUAUUUUCAUGCAACAUGGAUGAAAUGAUGAAUAGAUUAAAUCAGCGUUGAGAUCAUAAUGAAGCUUGUUGAGGAAAUAGAUAUUUGAACAUUACAACUACAUUUGUGUAUCCCUAAAAUACUUGGGAAAAUCAAAAUCUUCAAGACGUACUAAAUCUAUCUUUUCACCCUUGAGAUCAUAAUCCACAUAUUAUCCCAUAUACAAUACACAUUUGUUGAUCACAGUUAUAAUUUAGAUAGUGAGCACCCAACAAAACUAAUUCAAUAGGUAGCUCCAAACUAAAAACUAAAAGCAAAACAGAAUGCGUACAUCUUUUAGGAAACAAUUGGGUAGAAACAAUUUAGUUUUGUUAAGUUUGAUGUAAAUCUUUUUGGAAGGACUCCAUAUCAUGGCUCCUGAGAUCUGAGAAAUUUUGACUUUGUGAACCCAAGCUUUGGUUUUGAGGCAUUAUGUAUCUCAUUUAUCUGUAUUUAUUUUUGUAUCUGACGUGAUGUUUCUGUCAAUACCAAGGCGUCCUGUGGUGACUUGGGGUCAAUCUAAUGCUUAGCUAAUCCAUCCUAAAGUAGAAUUUUACUUGGAAAUAAAAGAAUGGAUAAUCACAUAAGAGGUACAUGGUCAUGCAGAUAUUUGUUGCACCAACAUGACGAUAGCCUAAAAAGAGAAGGACCUCCAUAAUCUAAUUACACUAAAUCACAAUCAUAUAACUGACACAUACUGAGCCAAAAAAUAAUAUUAUACAUACUCGAUUUGCAAAUUGCAAAUAUCAAU
This 2210-nucleotide long non-coding RNA is filed under the name Triticum aestivum (bread wheat). Its description in RNAcentral is "long non-coding RNA (TAES_LNC027104)". Lineage: Eukaryota; Viridiplantae; Streptophyta; Magnoliopsida; Poales; Poaceae. The record is from RNAcentral.